Molecule: ribosomal RNA, 115 nt
Filed under: Stegodyphus mimosarum
Lineage: Eukaryota; Metazoa; Arthropoda; Arachnida; Araneae; Eresidae
Description: 5.8S ribosomal RNA
Rfam family: 5.8S ribosomal RNA
About the family: 5.8S ribosomal RNA (5.8S rRNA) is a component of the large subunit of the eukaryotic ribosome.
Source: Rfam by way of RNAcentral
AUAACGCAGCCAACUGCGGGUCUUUGUGUGAAUUGCAGGAUACAUUGAGCACUUAUUUUUCGAACACGUAUUGCGGUCUCGGGUGAUAGCCGGGGCCUCGCCUAUCUGAGGGUCA